GAUAAGGAGAUUGCUCACUCCACGUAAAGCCCAGCAGUCGACAUUUUCCCUCCUCCCCCUCUCUAGCAGACGAAUUCGACUGCGCUGCUCCUUUCGGCCAGCUCCGGAAGCAUUUGACGGCUGAGGACCACUGGAGGACUGGUUUUACGUUUUGAAACGCAAAGAUAUUCGUAUUUCUUAUUUAUUUAGUUCCGUUCAGUGCACUUUAGUGAUUGAAUUGAUGAAUUGAAAAGAAACAAAGAUGAAAAUUAUGUUUCUACUGAUUCAUAAACAAGAAAACUUGUUAACAAUGGUAGGAAACACUUCAGAGUAGUUAACAACUUUGAGGAUCUUGUGCGCUAAUGUUUCUAACACAUUAUGUUGAUUGGAGAGUGCAGAUAACUUUUCUACAACAACGGAAUGAAAAAAUGUUUCAGCUGUGUGAAUCAAGGUCUGGACUUAGAGGAUCAUCACACGAGUUAAACAAGGAAUUUCUUCUGGUUGGACAUUUAACAAGUUUCUCAGUUUUCAGUACAAUGUAGCCAGCAAUGUAUGCUAGGCAUUGGUUGGUGAAGUGAUCUUUCAACUGA
This 569-nucleotide long non-coding RNA is filed under the name Daphnia magna. RNAcentral describes it as "uncharacterized LOC123474369, transcript variant X1". Lineage: Eukaryota; Metazoa; Arthropoda; Branchiopoda; Diplostraca; Daphniidae. The record is from RNAcentral.